UAUCUUGAAAACUCAAGUUUGUUAAAUUUCGGAGUUAGGGUUUCUGAAAUGUACGAUGAUAAGGUGAUAGUCUAAAUGGGUUAUUUGAAGAACCAUGAUAAGGUGUCCAAAUUUCUUAUUUGAUCUUCAUAUUCUUUAUUUAACAGUGACUAGGAUUCCAUCUAUAGAGAACCAAUUGAUGGGGUUUAUUUUCCUUGUUUUUGCUCAAAUUUGUUGUUUUUUUUUUUUACUCAAAUUUGUUCAAAUCUGUUGUUACCACUUUAUAUAUUUCAUCACUUACUUGCAUUCCUCCUCUUUACUCAUUGACAAGGAAUAAUACAUCAAGCUUCUUUAAAGGUUAAUUUCAUCAUCUGUUCUGUUUUCUAUGUAAAAGUCCGAUGUAGAACUCAUGUUAUCUGAUUUGGUUAUGAAUAAACUGAUGAAUAUGUGCAAAGUGUUUGGUGAAAUGCAUCAACAAAAUGGAAUUAUUUUAUGAGCACCUGCAUUUUAAAUUACAAAGCAUUUUUUUUUAUUCUUUUCAGUUUUGUAAUCAUCUUUACACAAGUAGAGGACAACUUAGCUGAUAUUAGUCAGUGAUCUUGUGAAAGACAACAUUACAGUUUUGAGAACUCUUAGUGUUAGAACAUGAGUAGUAAUCGACUGGUUAUGCCUCUCAAAUUCGAGUUCAUAGCCACUUAAUCUAGCACCACCACCAUGACACUACAAUACCAAUACCACGGCAACCACCUUUACCAUAAUACAACAGCACCACCACCACCACCAUAUCACUAACCACCUGUCCAAAACAUCAACACCACCACUUUAGAAAUGUUAUUAACUUAGAAACUUAGACGCCAUCUUUUUGUAUGUGGCGGUGGUGAUGUGGGGGUGAUGCAGUAAUGCUGCCGUUGGUGGUAUUAAGGAAUUUAAGCUCAUUGAUGUUAUGUCCCUUUGAACUGCCUAAGAGAACAAUCUUGGAUGUUUGUAGAUUAUGUCUCUUAUUCAUAGCUAGCAGCUGAUUGAAACUUAGGUGCCCAUCUUUUGGUAUACUGAUGUAGCACAACUAUGAUCGUAGGUGAUGCUUACAAGCUUUGGCACCAAUUCCUGCUGAAAACUUGCUUUGUGAUUUUGUUGAGGCACUUGUUCUUUCAGAUAUACCCAUGAUGACUAUAAGACAUAGCUUCAUUGUUUUCACCUGACUCAUCUCUUUGUUUCAUGUUUUAGUAUUGAGUCUGCCAAUGAUUUAUGAUCUUAGCUAACGGUUACAAAGCCAGUAUUUCAAGUAUCAGCCUCAUUUGCUUCAUAAUCUUAACAAUGUACAUUAAUGGAUUGCAUGUUCUCCUUGUUUUCCAGAUUGCUUCCUAAGGACUCACUCGCCAACUGUGAGGUUUCAUUGGCUGAUCUUUGAGGCAAUGAGGAUCAAGUGUGCAAGAAGUUCAGACUUAGAGUUGAGGAUGUUAAAAGAAAGAAUGUUCUUACCAAUUUCUGGGGAAUGGAUUUUACCACAGACAAGUUGAGACCUCUUGUAAGAAAGUGGCAGACAUUGAUUGAAAUGCAUAUUAAUGUCAAGACAACAGACAACUUCACCUCGAGGACAUUCUGCAUUAGAUUCACCAAGCAGCGAGACAAACAAGUCAAGAGAACCUGUUAUGCCCAAUCUAGCCAGAUUCGAGAGGUGAAGUUAUGUCUUUCGAUUUCAACAUUUUCUCAAGAUUGUUUCAUCGUUCUGCAGUAUAUUCACCAAGCAGUCAGACAAACAGGUCAAGAGAAUUUGUUAUGCUCAAUCUAGCCAGAUUCGAGAGGUGAAGUUGGGUCUUUCGAAUUCAACAUUUUCUUAUCAUUUCAUGUGAUUCAUGUGUGUAAGAUUCUUUUGUGACCCUAUUGGAAGAAUAGGGAAAUCAUGGUAAACCAACAUUUUCUUAUUAUUUCCUGAUUGUAUCAUCUGUACUUUGUGUUGUCGGAUUCUUCACAAGAUGGCUGAAAUCAUGGUAAACCUGGCCUCUUCAUGUGAUCUUAAAGAAUUGGUGGCAAAAUUUAUCCCUGAGAUGAUUGGAAAGGAUAUUGGGAAGGCUACAUCAAGCAUUUACCCAUUGCAGAAUGUGUUCAUUAGGAAGGUCGUGAUCAUAAGUUUGAUAAAAUUAUGAAUGCAAGUGCUAUGUUAUGCGAAAUGGAAGGAGUAAUUGGAGAUAUUGCAACAGAUGACAAGAAUAAGUGGCCAAAAACUUAUGUAAAUCUUGUAGGAGAGCUACCAAAUUAGAGUGGCAAGAUUAGGUGACAAUCUUAGUAGAUGGAUUUCAGUUUUAAUGUUUAGUAUGCAAUUCUAGGUUUCUAUAAUUUGUCUUUCAGUUUGUAUUUGGAGAUUCUAUGUGUUGAAUGUUUUUUUUUAUAUUAAUAUAAAGUUCUUUAAAUUG
Long non-coding RNA from Papaver somniferum (opium poppy), 2390 nucleotides. RefSeq lists it as uncharacterized. The transcript is spliced from 2 exons. The record is from RefSeq and is a predicted model, not a curated record. NCBI's taxonomy places the organism in Eukaryota, Viridiplantae, Streptophyta, Magnoliopsida, Ranunculales, Papaveraceae.